GCAGUACUUCCUUCGUCCGAAAUUACUUGUCGUAGAAAUGGAUGUAUCUAGACACAUAUUUACUUUUAGAUACAUCAUUUUUUAUCCAUUUUUGAGACAAGUAAUUUGGGACGGAAGGAGUAGAUA
Molecule: microRNA precursor, 126 nt
Filed under: Hordeum vulgare
Lineage: Eukaryota; Viridiplantae; Streptophyta; Magnoliopsida; Poales; Poaceae
Description: microRNA MIR1122
Rfam family: MIR1120/MIR1122 microRNA precursor family
Source: RNAcentral